ACUCCUACGGGAGGCAGCAGUGGGGAAUCUUAGACAAUGGGGGAAACCCUGAUCUAGCCAUGCCGCGUGAGUGAUGAAGGCCCUAGGGUCGUAAAGCUCUUUCAGCUGUGAAGAUAAUGACGGUAGCAGCAGAAGAAACCCCGGCUAACUCCGUGCCAGCAGCCGCGGUAAUACGGAGGGGGUUAGCGUUGUUCGGAAUUACUGGGCGUAAAGCGCGCGUAGGCGGAUUAGUCAGUCAGAGGUGAAAUCCCGGGGCUCAACCCCGGAACUGCCUUUGAUACUGCUAGUCUUGAGUUCGAGAGAGGUGAGUGGAAUUCCGAGUGUAGAGGUGAAAUUCGUAGAUAUUCGGAGGAACACCAGUGGCGAAGGCGGCUCACUGGCUCGAUACUGACGCUGAGGUGCGAAAGUGUGGGGAGG
This 417-nucleotide ribosomal RNA is filed under the name uncultured bacterium. RNAcentral's name for it is "bacterial SSU rRNA". It matches the Rfam family "Bacterial small subunit ribosomal RNA", at positions 335 to 769 of the family's 1533-position model. The record is from RNAcentral.